This 1134-nucleotide ribosomal RNA is filed under the name Microbacterium sp. BPW. RNAcentral describes it as "bacterial SSU rRNA". It matches the Rfam family "Bacterial small subunit ribosomal RNA", at positions 217 to 1361 of the family's 1533-position model. The record is from RNAcentral. Lineage: Bacteria; Bacillati; Actinomycetota; Actinomycetes; Micrococcales; Microbacteriaceae.
GGUCUGGGAUGGGCUCGCGGCCUAUCAGCUUGUUGGUGAGGUAAUGGCUUACCAAGGCGUCGACGGGUAGCCGGCCUGAGAGGGUGACCGGCCACACUGGGACUGAGACACGGCCCAGACUCCUACGGGAGGCAGCAGUGGGGAAUAUUGCACAAUGGGCGGAAGCCUGAUGCAGCAACGCCGCGUGAGGGAUGACGGCCUUCGGGUUGUAAACCUCUUUUAGCAGGGAAGAAGCUUUUGUGACGGUACCUGCAGAAAAAGCGCCGGCUAACUACGUGCCAGCAGCCGCGGUAAUACGUAGGGCGCAAGCGUUAUCCGGAAUUAUUGGGCGUAAAGAGCUCGUAGGCGGUUUGUCGCGUCUGCUGUGAAAUCCCGAGGCUCAACCUCGGGCCUGCAGUGGGUACGGGCAGACUAGAGUGCGGUAGGGGAGAUUGGAAUUCCUGGUGUAGCGGUGGAAUGCGCAGAUAUCAGGAGGAACACCGAUGGCGAAGGCAGAUCUCUGGGCCGUAACUGACGCUGAGGAGCGAAAGGGUGGGGAGCAAACAGGCUUAGAUACCCUGGUAGUCCACCCCGUAAACGUUGGGAACUAGUUGUGGGGUCCUUUCCACGGAUUCCGUGACGCAGCUAACGCAUUAAGUUCCCCGCCUGGGGAGUACGGCCGCAAGGCUAAAACUCAAAGGAAUUGACGGGGACCCGCACAAGCGGCGGAGCAUGCGGAUUAAUUCGAUGCAACGCGAAGAACCUUACCAAGGCUUGACAUACACCAGAACACCCCAGAAAUGGGGGACUCUUUGGACACUGGUGAACAGGUGGUGCAUGGUUGUCGUCAGCUCGUGUCGUGAGAUGUUGGGUUAAGUCCCGCAACGAGCGCAACCCUCGUUCUAUGUUGCCAGCACGUUAUGGUGGGAACUCAUGGGAUACUGCCGGGGUCAACUCGGAGGAAGGUGGGGAUGACGUCAAAUCAUCAUGCCCCUUAUGUCUUGGGCUUCACGCAUGCUACAAUGGCCGGUACAAAGGGCUGCAAUACCGUGAGGUGGAGCGAAUCCCAAAAAGCCGGUCCCAGUUCGGAUUGAGGUCUGCAACUCGACCUCAUGAAGUCGGAGUCGCUAGUAAUCGCAGAUCAGCAACGCUGCG